Molecule: long non-coding RNA, 1744 nt
Organism: Sapajus apella (tufted capuchin)
Lineage: Eukaryota; Metazoa; Chordata; Mammalia; Primates; Cebidae
Exons: 3
Source: RefSeq, a predicted model, not a curated record
CUGAACAUAGUAAGGCAGUAUUUCAUAGAACUAUCUUGCUAUUUUUACAUGUACACUUUAAAAAGUAGGCAUUUAUACUACAAGGCAUAGCAUAUCCUUCUUGCCCAAGUGUUUUCCUGGUAUGCAAAGUUGUACAAGUUUGUGUUAAGUGACAGACAGUUCUUGAUUUUAAAAGCGUAUGUCAAAUUUUUUAAAGAGAAUGCUCCCAAAAUAAAUGCUUCAGGACCUAGCAUGGGGUGAGGGGCUUGUAGGAUAAUUUAGUUGCCUUCAUUUCACAGUCACUAUGAGUUUUUAAAUUGGAGGGCAGAAGCAAGACAAGUGCAUUUUGUAAUUCACAUAAAAAUAGUCCCAUAACACAUUGUUAUCACUAAAUCAUUACGAAGAGGAGAAUGUUCAUUCUGCCUUCAUUUUAUGCCAUAUGGGUAGAAUGGAGAUAAUUCUGCUGGACAGAAUUAUAUUUUGAAGCAAAUACAUGCUUUCAGGGUGUCUCCAUUUCAUUUGGAGCUGACGAAAAUUUCAUGAGGGUUUUCUUUACUUUUCUAUGGGAGGGUUUCUACUAGCGAUGUCACAACAGAGCUAGAUUAAGUUGAUACGUAAUAUCUAUUUCUUGAUUUGCGUGAUUAAAGCAUUAGAGAAGUGGCUCAGAUAUCAAAAGGUUUCUUAUAAGUGGCAGCGCCAAAGGUAAUUACUGUUAAAAUGUACGUGCUCGAACCCUGGUUGCUUCUUAACUUCUAAGUUGUUUACAACUCUGUGGAUUUGAAUACACGUUUUUAUUUGACUUUUCAAUAACAAGACCCCUUUCUUGCUCCAUUUUGAUAUAAAAAAUGUAUUUGUAAUUCUUAUAGCUCAUGUUCCUCAAGGCAACCUUAGCUUCAAUCACAAAAAGUAAUAGAGGACAGAGAUGGCCCUUCUCAGUAUUUCACAUUUUAAAAUAACUCUUUCUUAAACAAAAUAGUCUUUUAAAGACAAAGUUAAAAUUUAUACUUAAAAAAUUAAAGAUUAAUCUAGUCAACUGAUUAUUUCCAGUUAGUUGUCAAAAAGUGUAGCUAAAGCCGUACUGUAAGUCUGAGUGAGUUAUGAGAGGGGGUGGGGAUAGAGAGGAAAAGAGGGGAGAGAGAGAAGGAGAAGAGAGGUUGUUAUUCUCAGUCUUUUAUUAACCAGUUUCUUUCAUCCUAGUGUGUCUUUAUUAUUUAGAAAAAUAAAAAUGAUCCGGGGCUCUACCCACUCUCACCUAAAAUUCUGCAGUAGGUAAUGACUAUCUACAACCUGGUACAACAUAUGCCCCCAAACUAAAACAAACAAACUCAUUUGCCAUACAAAUUGUUUACGAUUCAUUAAAAAGCAAAAUUGCAUAUCCUGUCGCUGGCAGCUGAGGCCGCGUCUCCACGGGCGGAGGGGGCAUUCACUGAGUUGCCUUUGUAUGCUGGGAGGACCAAGCCGGAGGUUCCCACUAUGAGCCCGGAGUCUGUGCAGCCAGAUGACGCAUGAGGUAAGUCCUUAUGAGGUAGGACCUAUUAUUAACUCCAUUUUGCAACCAGGAUAACAGGCUCCAAGAGGUAAAGUGACUUGCUUAGAGCUCCAGAGUUAGCGAUAGGAGGACUGAAGCCCAGGAAUGAUGACUGCAGAGCUUCACCACUCUGGCGUUGCCUCCUGAGCCAAAAAAGGAGAGAAGUAACAGGAUUUAGCACCUGCCACACGCCAUACUGUUUUUAAAGACAGAAAUGGAGGUCAUCUGGUAGAAUCC